Molecule: long non-coding RNA, 1391 nt
Filed under: Musa acuminata (dwarf banana)
Lineage: Eukaryota; Viridiplantae; Streptophyta; Magnoliopsida; Zingiberales; Musaceae
Description: long non-coding RNA (MACU_LNC003708)
Source: RNAcentral
CAACCAAAGAGUUCACCAUAAAAAAAGGACUAAAAGUUGAACUCUUUUAAUCUCAUCGAUAAUCCAUAUUGUAGAUUAUUCUUUUCCUGCAAUUCUUAAAGAAAGAAAACUCUCUCUUCCCUUGUGUGUUUGAUAUCUCUGAACCUGUAAUAAUACACAAUCUGUUUUUCUGAACAUACUGUUUGAUAUGUUUCCUGCUGGAACAAAUUGCAGGGGCAAAUAAUGCAAACAAACAAUCUUCUCUGAACUUGCAAUGGUGUUUUCAGUCUCUUGAUCCAAUUCCUUUCAAAUGAGGCCAAUCUGAUGAAAAGCAAAUUGUGUUUGCAUUUAGUAUGUUAGAUUAUUUCCAGUGAUGCUGUCUUUUAGGGUAUCCUUCUGUUUGGAGAAAAUUGUUGAUACCCACUACAAGAAAAAGUUGCAAAGCUUUACAGUGCAUGAAAUUUCAUAGAAUCUGUUCCAGUAAUUCUCACCCCAGUCAGACCACACUACAUAGAACAUAUUGCAUCUGACCUUAACAUGUCAUAAUGAUCAAUUUGGCUUUUGAGUGAAGAAUGCCUUCAGUAGAGGUGUCUCAGUUGUUGAAGUGAAGAUGCAUCAGAUCUUUUACUCUCUACAGCUUUAUACUUACCAGAGCAUACCUCCAACAAUUAUCUAUUGUGCUCUUCUGAACACAUGAUACUUUUUCUCUGCACACAUAAAUACAUACUCAUGUAUAUAUAGUAUCAAAAGAUUAUACAUACUCUUAGAAAAGGAGUGAGGGUUCCUUUUCCUCACCAAGGCAGGAAACAGAGUUCUCCAUCACAUCUGAUUAAGAGAAACUAAAAGAAUCAAUAAGAAGUAGGAAGAGUAAGUGAUUGGAAAAAGACUUUGGAAAUGUCUAAUCAUUAUCCUAAGAUAACAUUGAAAUGAUUAGUCAAUGAUCACAGCACUUAAAUCAACCAUUAAAAGCAAUCAAAAUAUAGUGAAAUCUCAUGUUAGAAAAACCACAGGACAUUCAGAAAUUUGAGCUCCAUGGUGGAAUCCUAUAACCUGUUGAGGUUGAAGGAAGAGGAAGAGGAGUCCCACCAUGCAUACUGAAUCUUAGCACACUUCUUGAGCAGAUCUUUCUCUCUCUCUCUCUCCCUCGCACACACAUAAACUACAGGAUCAGAUACAUUACUCAGAGAUCAAACACCUUGAAAGGAGAAGAGGAAGAACUCCCCAGUGGAACUGAAUCAGGGAUGUCAAGUUAGAGAUCCCCUGUCUAGAAGAGAUGGCACCAGCUUCAUCCACACCAACCUGGACCCAUCUCAUGAAGCCGGUGUCAUCUCUCCUAGACUUGGAAACCCAACUCCUUGUCGUGCUUGCCCCUUCCUUCACCCCUUGGGUGUGUCUUAUAGCCUCGAGUGACU